This 440-nucleotide ribosomal RNA is filed under the name uncultured Pseudomonas sp. RNAcentral describes it as "bacterial SSU rRNA". It matches the Rfam family "Bacterial small subunit ribosomal RNA", at positions 358 to 790 of the family's 1533-position model. Lineage: Bacteria; Pseudomonadati; Pseudomonadota; Gammaproteobacteria; Pseudomonadales; Pseudomonadaceae. The record is from RNAcentral.
GGAAUAUUGGACAAUGGGCGAAAGCCUGAUCCAGCCAUGCCGCGUGUGUGAAGAAGGUCUUCGGAUUGUAAAGCACUUUAAGUUGGGAGGAAGGGCAUUAACCUAAUACGUUGGUGUCUUGACGUUACCGACAGAAUAAGCACCGGCUAACUCUGUGCCAGCAGCCGCGGUAAUACAGAGGGUGCAAGCGUUAAUCGGAAUUACUGGGCGUAAAGCGCGCGUAGGUGGUUCGUUAAGUUGGAUGUGAAAUCCCCGGGCUCAACCUGGGAACUGCAUUCAAAACUGUCGAGCUAGAGUAUGGUAGAGGGUGGUGGAAUUUCCUGUGUAGCGGUGAAAUGCGUAGAUAUAGGAAGGAACACCAGUGGCGAAGGCGACCACCUGGACUGAUACUGACACUGAGGUGCGAAAGCGUGGGGAGCAAACAGGAUUAGAUACCCUUG